AUGGUUGAGAAUAAUGACAGUCUAGUAGUGACUAUAAUUCCAAAGCUGCUGUCAGAUGGUAAAUUGUUUAUAGACGAAUUAACAAUAUCUGUCUGGUUCCACAAUGAGAAAGAAAAAAUUCCUGCUAUAGUAGUUGUUGACGAUAAUAUUGAACUUGCGAUCCUUCUGGUCAAAGGGGAGAGCCCACGUAAAUCCAUUUCUUUGGGUGAAUUUGCCAAGGAACAGAAGUACCAAUAUGAUGUUGUCUAUGCCAUUGCUACAAUGGCCGCGACGAAAUUACAUCCAGACUCAACCGUACUGCUAAAUGAGCCGUUUGGGAGUCUUGGAAUUUAUGAGGGUCAUAUCACUACACCUAAUUGCACUGCGUCUACUCUUCAAAAUAGUGUUGUUUCUGAGAGUAAACGGUAUUUCAAGUUGUCCUGCAUGUAUAUGGAUCACAUGCUUACACUUGAUAACAUUGAUGAUGAAGAAGGGCAUCAGUCUAGCCGCGUUCUAGGAGCCCCGGUUAUUGGUUACGAUUCUAAGAUGAUUGGGAUAGUAUGCUCAGUAGCUACAUCUGGUGAUCUGAAAUAUGCAAUCCAUGUGGAACAUAUGAUCAAGCCCAUUGAAGAUAUGUGCGACAAACAUUCCAAAGAGAUCCUUCAUUCAAAGAAGAUUUGGUUGGACUGGGAGGGAAAAUUGAAGAAGGUCUAUACUGCUGUACAAAAAGCGUGA
Molecule: ribosomal RNA, 714 nt
Filed under: Triticum aestivum (bread wheat)
Lineage: Eukaryota; Viridiplantae; Streptophyta; Magnoliopsida; Poales; Poaceae
Description: partial small subunit ribosomal RNA
Source: RNAcentral